CUACGGGGGGCACCAGUGGGGAAUAUUGCACAAUGGGCGCAAGCCUGAUGCAGCCAUGCCGCGUGUAUGAAGAAGGCCCUCGGGUUGUAAAGUACUUUCAGCGGGGAGGAAGGGAGUAAAGUUAAUACCUUUGCUCAUUGACGUUACCCGCAGAAGAAGCACCGGCUAACUCCGUGCCAGCAGCCGCGGUAAUACGGAGGGUGCAAGCGUUAAUCGGAAUUACUGGGCGUAAAGCGCACGCAGGCGGUUGUUAAGGCAGAUGUGAAAUCCCCGGGCUCAACCUGGGAACUGCAUCUGAUACUGGCAGGCUUGAGUCUCGUAGAGGGGGGUAGAAUUCCAGGUGUAGCGGUGAAAUGCGUAGAGAUCUGGAGGAAUACCGGUGGCGAAGGCGGCCCCCUGGACGAAGACUGACGCUCAGGUGCGAAAGCGUGGGGAGCAAACAGGAUUAGAUACCCGAGUAGUC
RNAcentral lists this ribosomal RNA (463 nucleotides) under uncultured bacterium. Its description in RNAcentral is "partial 16S ribosomal RNA". It matches the Rfam family "Bacterial small subunit ribosomal RNA", at positions 339 to 795 of the family's 1533-position model. The record is from RNAcentral.